RNAcentral lists this long non-coding RNA (497 nucleotides) under Capsicum annuum. Its description in RNAcentral is "long non-coding RNA (CANN_LNC018172)". Lineage: Eukaryota; Viridiplantae; Streptophyta; Magnoliopsida; Solanales; Solanaceae. The record is from RNAcentral.
UGCGUGGAUAUUUUGUUUUAAUAUCUUUUAAUAAUUUACUUUUUGCGUAAGAUAUAUUCAUUAAUUAUUUUAUCCUGUAGUAAUUACAGAGUUACAAAUUCUUGUAUAAUAAUUUAUCCUAUCUGUACUAUAAUAUAUAUCUAAUUCUAGAUUUUCAAUGUUAUUUAUUAUCUUGUGUUGUUCUUCUCGUAGUGAGUUUUUUAAAUUAUAUAAACUAUCACAUGUAUUUUUAUCUAAAUUUUCUAAGGUUUUUUCUAUCCAUGCUAAUUUUUCUUUUAGGUCUUCUAUUAUUUUUCUAAUUCGGUUUCUAUAACUAAUUUCAUUAUUUAGAUUUUCUUGAUUUUCUCUAGUUUGUCUAAUAUAUUCUAACAUGUUUUUAGUCUGAAUAAUAUUCUUCUGGGUAAAUUUCUUCGUAUAACUGUUCUAGAUAAUUUGUAGUUUCAAUUUCAUAGUUUAUUACUUCUUCUAAUAUUAUUUUCUUAAUAUCCAUAAUUUCU